CAAAACUUUCAACAACGGAUCUCUUGGUUCUCGCAUCGAUGAAGAACGCAGCGAAACGCGAUAGUUAAUGUGAAUUGCAGAAUUCAGUGAAUCAUCGAGUCUUUGAACGCACAUUGCGCCCAUUGGUAUUCCGAUGGGCACGUCUGUCUGAGC
Molecule: ribosomal RNA, 153 nt
Filed under: Dicranidion inaequale
Lineage: Eukaryota; Fungi; Ascomycota; Orbiliomycetes; Orbiliales; Orbiliaceae
Description: 5.8S ribosomal RNA
Rfam family: 5.8S ribosomal RNA
About the family: 5.8S ribosomal RNA (5.8S rRNA) is a component of the large subunit of the eukaryotic ribosome.
Source: RNAcentral